RNAcentral lists this ribosomal RNA (253 nucleotides) under uncultured bacterium. Its description in RNAcentral is "partial 16S ribosomal RNA". It matches the Rfam family "Bacterial small subunit ribosomal RNA", at positions 524 to 776 of the family's 1533-position model. The record is from RNAcentral.
UACGGAGGGUGCAAGCGUUGCUCGGAAUCAUUGGGCGUAAAGCGCACGUAGGCGGCUCGUUAAGUCGGAUGUGAAAGCCCCGGGCUCAACUCGGGAAGUGCAUUCGAAACUGGCGAGCUUGAAUAUGGAAGAGGGUCGCGGAAUUCCCGGUGUAGAGGUGAAAUUCGUAGAUAUCGGGAGGAACACCAGUGGCGAAGGCGGCGACCUGGGCCAAUAUUGACGCUGAGGUGCGAAAGCGUGGGGAGCAAACAGG